Molecule: ribosomal RNA, 465 nt
Filed under: Vreelandella stevensii
Lineage: Bacteria; Pseudomonadati; Pseudomonadota; Gammaproteobacteria; Oceanospirillales; Halomonadaceae
Description: partial 16S ribosomal RNA
Rfam family: Bacterial small subunit ribosomal RNA
Source: RNAcentral
CCUACGGGGGGCUGCAGUGGGGAAUAUUGGACAAUGGGGGCAACCCUGAUCCAGCCAUGCCGCGUGUGUGAAGAAGGCCCUCGGGUUGUAAAGCACUUUCAGUGAGGAAGAACGCCUGGUGGUUAAUACCCAUCAGGAAAGACAUCACUCACAGAAGAAGCACCGGCUAACUCCGUGCCAGCAGCCGCGGUAAUACGGAGGGUGCGAGCGUUAAUCGGAAUUACUGGGCGUAAAGUGCGCGUAGGUGGCUUGAUAAGCCGGUUGUGAAAGCCCCGGGCUCAACCUGGGAACGGCAUCCGGAACUGUCAAGCUAGAGUGCAGGAGAGGAAGGUAGAAUUCCCGGUGUAGCGGUGAAAUGCGUAGAGAUCGGGAGGAAUACCAGUGGCGAAGGCGGCCUUCUGGACUGACACUGACACUGAGGUGCGAAAGCGUGGGUAGCAAACAGGAUUAGAUACCCCAGUAGUC